RNAcentral lists this ribosomal RNA (363 nucleotides) under Triticum aestivum (bread wheat). Its description in RNAcentral is "partial small subunit ribosomal RNA". The record is from RNAcentral. Lineage: Eukaryota; Viridiplantae; Streptophyta; Magnoliopsida; Poales; Poaceae.
AUGUUGUACGCCCUAGGAGCAAGUGCCGAAUAUGAGGCGCUGAAGAAGGCGGUGGCUGAUGCCCACGAGAAGGCUGCCGCUGAACAGGCGCUUCGUAAAAAACACGAGGCCAGGGUUAUUACAGCUGAGCGGGAGCUCCAGGAGGCUGUGACGAAAAGCGAGAGCUUGGAGCAGAGUCUAGUAGGGAAAGAAUCUGAACUCGCCCAAGCUCUCCAAGCCGCGGAAGAUGCUCGGGAAGAAGCCCGAGGUGCUGUACGGGACAUUCAGGAGACCCGGAAAGUUGCGGCUAGUAAGGCCUGUUGUAUCUAUGGCCAUUAUUACGUGAUAGUGGGGAGAACUCUAAGCGGCAAGCUGAAUUCUUGA